This 433-nucleotide ribosomal RNA is filed under the name uncultured bacterium. Its description in RNAcentral is "partial 16S ribosomal RNA". It matches the Rfam family "Bacterial small subunit ribosomal RNA", at positions 29 to 507 of the family's 1533-position model. The record is from RNAcentral.
AACGAACGCUGGCGGCAUGCCUAACACAUGCAAGUCGAACGAGACCUUCGGGUCUAGUGGCGCACGGGUGCGUAACGCGUGGGAACCUGCCUUUAGGUUCGGAAUAACUCAGAGAAAUUUGAGCUAAUACCGGAUGAUGUCUUCGGGCCAAAGAUUUAUCGCCUUUAGAUGGGCCCGCGUUGGAUUAGCUAGUUGGGGGGGUAAAGGCCUACCAAGGCGACGAUCCAUAGCUGGUCUGAGAGGAUGAUCAGCCACACUGGGACUGAGACACGGCCCAGACUCCUACGGGAGGCAGCAGUGGGGAAUAUUGGACAAUGGGCGAAAGCCUGAUCCAGCAAUGCCGCGUGAGUGAUGAAGGCCUUAGGGUUGUAAAGCUCUUUUACCCGAGAUGAUAAUGACAGUAUCGGGAGAAUAAGCUCCGGCUAACUCCGUG